This 255-nucleotide long non-coding RNA is filed under the name Setaria viridis. Its description in RNAcentral is "long non-coding RNA (SVIR_LNC007246)". Lineage: Eukaryota; Viridiplantae; Streptophyta; Magnoliopsida; Poales; Poaceae. The record is from RNAcentral.
CUUUAUUUCUUUUUGCAUAGCCCAUGUCUCUUUUUGCAAGGAUAACUUUGGAGAGAGAGAGGUCAUAAAAUAACAUGGAGCUUUAUUUUGUGGAUGGAUGGAUGGCAUGUUUGCUAACUUCCAGUGUAGAAGUUUAGCAUAUGGUGGUGACAUGUACAUGAUAUUGAUCAUGGGAGUAUGAAAAGCAUCUCACAAAGGGUCACAACAAUUUGACAAAAAUCAAUGAGAUAACAGGCAGCAUAUGUGGAGGGUAUU